ACGAGAGGUGCUUGCACCUUUCAAGCGAGUGGCGAACGGGUGAGUAACACGUGGAUAACCUGCCUCAAGGCUGGGGAUAACAUUUGGAAACAGAUGCUAAUACCGAAUAAAACUUAGUAUCGCAUGAUAUCAAGUUAAAAGGCGCUACGGCGUCACCUAGAGAUGGAUCCGCGGUGCAUUAGUUAGUUGGUGGGGUAAAGGCUUACCAAGACGAUGAUGCAUAGCCGAGUUGAGAGACUGAUCGGCCACAUUGGGACUGAGACACGGCCCAAACUCCUACGGGAGGCUGCAGUAGGGAAUCUUCCACAAUGGGCGCAAGCCUGAUGGAGCAACGCCGCGUGUGUGAUGAAGGCUUUCGGGUCGUAAAGCACUGUUGUAUGGGAAGAAAUGCUAAAAUAGGGAAUGAUUUUAGUUUGACGGUACCAUACCAGAAAGGGACGGCUAAAUACGUGCCAGCAGCCGCGGUAAUACGUAUGUCCCGAGCGUUAUCCGGAUUUAUUGGGCGUAAAGCGAGCGCAGACGGUUGAUUAAGUCUGAUGUGAAAGCCCGGAGCUCAACUCCGGAAUGGCAUUGGAAACUGGUUAACUUGAGUGUUGUAGAGGUAAGUGGAAUUCCAUGGGUAGC
Molecule: ribosomal RNA, 624 nt
Filed under: Leuconostoc sp.
Lineage: Bacteria; Bacillati; Bacillota; Bacilli; Lactobacillales; Lactobacillaceae
Description: bacterial SSU rRNA
Rfam family: Bacterial small subunit ribosomal RNA
Source: RNAcentral